UGGCGGUCGGCUUGAUAUUGAGGUGCUCAGUUUUAACGACAUGGCGGUCGGCUUGAGUUGAGUUACUUAUUUUAACGACGUGGUGGUCAGUUUGAAGUUGAAUCGCUUAUUUUAACGAUAUGGCGGUCAGCUUGAGUUGAGUCGCUCAGUUUAGUGACGUGGUAGUUCGCUUGAGUUGAGUCGCCCAGUUUAACAACGUGGCAGUCGGCUUGAGUUGAGUCGUUCAGUUUAACGAUGUGGCGGUCGGCUUGAUUUGAAUUGCUCAGUUUAACGACGUGGCGGUCAGCUUGAAUUUGGGUUUAUUAGUUUAACGACUUUGCGGUUGUUUGAAUUUAGAUUUAGUUUAAUGACUUUAUGGUCGUUUGAAUUUGAUUGUUUAGUUUAACGACUUUGCGGUCGUUUGAAUUUGGGUUUGUUAGUUUAAUGAUUUCACGGUCAUUUGGAUUUGGGUUUGUUAGUUUAACGACUUUGAGGUCGUUUGGAUUUGGGUUUAGUUUAACGACUUUACGGUCAUUUGAAUUUUGGUGUAGUUUAGCGACUUUACGGUCGUUUGAAUUUGGAUUUAGUUUAGCGACUUUACGGUCGUUUGGAUUUGAUUAUUUAGUUUAGCAACUUUGCGGUCGUUUGAUUUUGUGUUUAGUUUAGCGAUUUUGCGGUCGUAGGUUUUAUUUGUGGACCUUGGAUUUUAGGAUUUUAUUUUUAGACUUUGUUGGCUUAAAUGGGUCAGCAUCCUGCCCAGUGGCGGAAGGCCAUGUUGGGCCGAGUCAUGUUCGAAAUGGCGUGAGGCUGGGUGGGCCGAGUCAUAUUCGAAGUGGCGUGAGGCUGGUUGGGCCGAGUCACAAUCGAGACCCGUGAGCGCUAUUUCUGUACGCUUUAAGUGAAUUGGUUGCGUAUUUCCAACAGCUCGAGCUUUUGGGAUUAAUGGUUAGCGCCAACGAUCCGAUAGACUUUAGGUUUUGGAUUUUAUUUAUGGAUUUUGGAUUCUGGGAUUUAAUUUGUGGACUUUGGAUUUUGGGGUUUUAUUUGUGGACUUUGGGUUUUAUUUAUAGUCCGAAAUGGACUGAACUAUUGCUUAGGUUGGAUUUAGGUUGAGUUGG
This 1097-nucleotide long non-coding RNA is filed under the name Ananas comosus (pineapple). RNAcentral's name for it is "long non-coding RNA (ACOM_LNC034819)". Lineage: Eukaryota; Viridiplantae; Streptophyta; Magnoliopsida; Poales; Bromeliaceae. The record is from RNAcentral.